UACGUAGGGGGCAAGCGUUGUCCGGAAUCAUUGGGCGUAGAGCGCGUGUAGGCGGCUCGAUAAGUCUGCUGUGAAAGUCCAGGGCUCAACCCUGGGAUGCCGGUGGAUACUGUCGAGCUCGAGUCCGGAAGAGGCGAGUGGAAUUCCUGGUGUAGCGGUGAAAUGCGUAGAUAUCUGGAGGAACACCGGUGGCGAAGGCGACAUCCUGGACCGGUAUUGACGCUGAGGCGCGAAAGCCAGGGGAGCAAACGGG
RNAcentral lists this ribosomal RNA (253 nucleotides) under uncultured bacterium. Its description in RNAcentral is "partial 16S ribosomal RNA". It matches the Rfam family "Bacterial small subunit ribosomal RNA", at positions 524 to 776 of the family's 1533-position model. The record is from RNAcentral.